This 769-nucleotide ribosomal RNA is filed under the name uncultured Eubacteriales bacterium. RNAcentral's name for it is "bacterial SSU rRNA". It matches the Rfam family "Bacterial small subunit ribosomal RNA", at positions 12 to 783 of the family's 1533-position model. Lineage: Bacteria; Bacillati; Bacillota; Clostridia; Eubacteriales. The record is from RNAcentral.
UUUGAUCCUGGCUCAGGAUGAACGCUGGCGGCGUGCUUAACACAUGCAAGUCGAACGAAACACCUUAUUUGAUUUUCUUCGGAACUGAAGAUUUGGUGAUUGAGUGGCGGACGGGUGAGUAACGCGUGGGUAACCUACCCUGUACAGGGGGAUAACAGUCAGAAAUGACUGCUAAUACCGCAUAAGACCACAGCACCGCAUGGUGCAGGGGUAAAAACUCCGGUGGUACAGGAUGGACCCGCGUCUGAUUAGCUGGUUGGUGAGGUAACGGCUCACCAAGGCGACGAUCAGUAGCCGGCUUGAGAGAGUGAACGGCCACAUUGGGACUGAGACACGGCCCAAACUCCUACGGGAGGCAGCAGUGGGGGAUAUUGCACAAUGGGGGAAACCCUGAUGCAGCGACGCCGCGUGAGUGAAGAAGUAUCUCGGUAUGUAAAGCUCUAUCAGCAGGGAAGAAAAUGACGGUACCUGACUAAGAAGCCCCGGCUAACUACGUGCCAGCAGCCGCGGUAAUACGUAGGGGGCAAGCGUUAUCCGGAAUUACUGGGUGUAAAGGGUGCGUAGGUGGUAUGGCAAGUCAGAAGUGAAAACCCAGGGCUUAACUCUGGGACUGCUUUUGAAACUGUCAGACUAGAGUGCAGGAGAGGUAAGCGGAAUUCCUAGUGUAGCGGUGAAAUGCGUAGAUAUUAGGAGGAACAUCAGUGGCGAAGGCGGCUUACUGGACUGAACUGACACUGAGGCACGAAAGCGUGGGAGCAACAGGAUAGAU